RNAcentral lists this long non-coding RNA (7127 nucleotides) under Brassica rapa (field mustard). RNAcentral describes it as "long non-coding RNA (BRAP_LNC003279)". Lineage: Eukaryota; Viridiplantae; Streptophyta; Magnoliopsida; Brassicales; Brassicaceae. The record is from RNAcentral.
GAAUCAAGAAACCAGCAAAAAGGUUGAAAGCAACGAAGAAAAGAGACUGGAGAAUAGCUGCGACCAUGAAGUUCGGAGUCACGGAGAUGAGGAACAAGGCGACGUAGUUGAAGCAUAGCAAGUUGCAGAACAUUGAGUAGAGACACCAAAGGACUUUAGAGUAAGAAGCGUAGAAACCGAUCAUUGGAUAUAUUAUGAUCACAAACUCUGCGCUUUGGAUGAAUAUGUAAGGAACCUCGGUCACAAGCUGAGCCAAUGCGUAGGCAAAGGCAGAGUACAUUCCCGCGAAUCUUUCGCGGUACAUAACAUUACGUUCUGUCUCAAAAUACUGUAACGCUGUGGCGCAGUUGUUUACUCCCAAGAAGAGGACAAGACCGUAGAUAGCUCCGAGGACUGUGAACAAGUUCUGUUGAGUAUCUCUGCCAAAAAAGGAAAGUUAAAUACUAAAAAUAGUAUGAUGAAAGUUAGGGUUUGUAGGGAACUUUUGGUAAGUUAGUUACAUUACAUCUUGUGGCCUUGCUUCCAGAAGAGUAGACCAAAUAUCAAAGAGGAGAAUAAAGUGUGAAAGAUUCGCAUCAGGUUGUAAGAAGGGCUUCUCCAGUAAGACAAGCUCAUCUUCCAUAGACAAGAUUUGAACUGUUCCCACCAGCUCUGCGCAAAGGUUCUGUUGAAAUGCAAGUCGGUUGACCCGGGAUCCGGUUUGCUCAGCUCUUUAACAAGUUCGGAGUUGGUUCUGCGGAAACAAGACAUGAUCUCAUCAGCCUUAUACAGUUUAUGACCGUGUAAGAGAGAUUGUACUAGUUCUACUCACGUGUAGAGAUCUGAGUCGUUGUAGAUUUUAGCGAAAUCAAUGUUGAGUUCAGUCUCUAUGGACUGUGAAGUAACUUCUAGCAUCCAUGUUGCGGGAUUGUAGUUGUCUUUAAUCUUAGCAACUCCAUGGAUACUCUGCUUAUUUAACCCCACCAAAGAACACAAAUAUAGAAACUAAAAUGUCUGUAGCGUAACUAUAUUGUUGUUUCUUGUGUAACACGCUAACCUCAAAAUAUUUAAUAACAUGAGAAGAAUGUUGUCCAAGAGGUCCAGUAUAAAUCAUACGACCUCCUGUCUUCAGAAGCACCAACUGAACAUGAAAACGAUAUUGUAAGAAAAAAAAAAUUUGAUAAAAGAAAUUACAUAAAAGAAAACAUUAUAAAUAAAGUUUGGAACACUUUAAACCUCAUCGAAAGCUUCGAAGAUGUCAAUGCUGGGCUGAUGAAUAGUGCAGACGAUGGUUCGUCCAGUGUCAGCUACGUUCUUCACAGCUCUCAUCACUAUGGCGGCUGCUCUUGCGUCUAGCCCCGUCGUUGGUUCGUCCAUGAAUAUGAUGGAGGGGUUCGCCACCAACUCCACCGCCACCGUCAAACGCUUCCUCUGCUCCGUCGACAGUCCGCUCUGGCCGGCGACUCCCACCAUCGCGUCCUUGAUCUCCUCCAGCUCGAUCGUCUCCAGAACUUGCUUCACGAAUCUCUGCAGCGAAUUUUUAGGUCAUUUCUAGGUCACAGUGUUUGAUUCUUAGAAUCACUAUUAGGGCUUACUAUUUUGGUUUCAGGUUCUAUUUCUGGAACUAGACGGAGCCAAGCUGAGUAAAUGAGAGACUCUUCGACUGUGAUGUUCGGUGAGUGUAUAUCCGUUUGCUCGCAGUAGCCUGAAACUCUUGCAAACGUUUCUUGGACCUUACGGUAUCCACUGAUCUUGAUGUCUCCUUCGAUGUAUCCGCUUGUUUUUCUUCCGGCGAGAACGUCCAGUAGAGUUGUUUUUCCGGCUCCACUGAUUCCCAUCAAUGCCGUUAGAACGCCGGGCCUGAAAGCUCCGGUGAUGUUUGAGAGAAGCUGAAGUUUCUUCUCAGUGUACCCUUGACCUCUCAUCUCCUGAUAUUGGCAAAGAUCCAUGGAUUUUUAUAACCUUUGAUGGUCAUUCAGUGGUAAUGCUAAGUUAUAUGAAUGAAACUAUUACCAUAGGAACGUCGACGUAAUAGUUCAAGUCUUGAAAUGUUAUGGUGAGUGGCUUAAAAGGUAACACCAUCUUCCCUGUUGAAUUAAUUAGGGUUUGAGGGAAAAUUUAGAAAGAAAUAGUUUGCUUGUCUGACAAGAAAGACAAAUAUGUUUCACCUGAAUCCUCUUUUCUCUCUGUUGACUUGUUUUGCUUCUUGUCUGAUGAAUCUUUUGUUCCUUGCAGCUCAGAGAGCUUGUCAUGGGAAAUCAUGGCACGAGAUGACGUUGGAGCUGUCAUUGUGUUAACAUAAGCUCUUUAAUUAGUAUUUGGUAUGUGGCAUUUAUUUGCCCUAAUAGGUUGAAACUUACAUUUCAAGAAACUCAAAGCAAGAGUGAAAAUGGUGUUAUAGAUAAGGGCUAGACCAAACAAUGCAGAUAAGCAGACCCAAUACAUGUAAUCAUCAUAGUUCAGUCCUCGGCUUUCGAGUAUGGUUCUCCCCAGUGUAACAUUUGUAGGUAGCAUCUCCAAACAUAACCAGAAUACUAAUUAGUCUUUGGAAAAUUAAAUGACAUUCUAAACAAGUAAGGGAAGAGAGAAGUUACUUGCUGCCAUCUUGGAGCAUGAAACUCGUUCACAGAGAGUCCAAUCUCAGCAUAACUUAUAGGAUUCACCCAGAAACCCCACUUCAACCACCCUGGCAUAUCAGCUGCAACAGACCAAGGUCAUGUUUCAAGCUUUGGAACAAGAUUGUAAUGAAAUGAAUGAAGCACAAAAAGUCUUACUAUAUGGGAUGGCGAAACCGGCAAAUACAAAGGUGAUUAACACAGCAAAACCACCAGCUGCCAUUGAAGCAACUCCUGUCUGAAAGAUUCCAGCUAUACACCGGAACAUAGAUAUCGUUGUGAAGUGAACAGCAAAUAGCAUAAUGAACUGCCUUAAGAACCUGAAACAUCACAGAUCAUUACUUCACACUUGAUCGUUGUUAAGUUUCUUUCGUUUCCAAUUUAAAACCAACUGGCGGUAACUGAAAUGGUCCAAACUCCUUAUAUAGUCACAUACUCUUUAGAGAUUAAGUUUAUGACCCAUUAAUCUCUACAUAAUGCCAAUAGAUGUGAAAAGAAGGUUUCAAGGACUCACCUGGAGGCUUUAGGAGUGUAUCCGAUGACAUAGUAAGUGAGACAAGUCCAAACUAGAGACUGAAAGAAAGAGAGGGGGACCUUCAACACUGUUGCUGGGAUUGCAUAAGCCCAAGCUGGAUAGAAACAAAGUUGCUUUUGCUUGUAAAACACGGCAAGGCGUUCAACAGUCAUAUUAAGCUCUGGAGCACCAUUAACCAGAAGCACAACGGUUGCGAAAAAGAGGCAGCUCAUGUAAGAGUUUCCAUGAACGAUGUCUACGCCCAUCCGUGUUCGAAUAAACACAGUCAUAGUGAGGAUUGCAGACAGAAGAAGCUGUCCAAUAUAAAGAUUCUUCAGGAUUAACACUAUAAUCUUUUAUAAAAAAAGGAAAGAGAUGUGUAAUAAUAACCAGAAACGUGUCAAAGAGGUAGACAAAGUAGUUUCUCUUCAUGAGAAGAAACUCUCUUGAGAGGCAUGCUCUGAACAGCUCCCAGUUUGGAAGAGAGUAUGCAUUGAAAGAAAGAGAAUCAUUCUGGUGUUUUGAUCUAUCAUAUGGCUUAGAGAGAGCUUCCUCAAGCUUUCUCCCAAUCUCUAAGUCCUUGAAUCUCUUUGAAAACGUUUCGACAGAGACAAAGCUAUAAGGCAAGGCCUGGUGCAGCCAGUACUGUCCUUGGUCCUUUCUAGAUAUAACCUGGCAAGGCAAAACAACUCAUGACCAUGUCAGUGUUCAAGGAAACAGAAGUUUUUGUUUCUUACCUCUUGUAGAAAGUCUGCAACACCUUUCCUUUCCGGGCAUCUAAAUCCACAUUCCUCAAAAAAGCUUAAGACCUGGUCUCUUGGACCGUGGUACACUAUUAUUCCUUGAUCCAUCAGCACAAUAUCAUCAAAGAGGUCAUAUGAUUCUGGAGCAGGUUGAAGAAGUGAAACAAGCACUGUUGCAUUGGUAAUGUGAGCUAGCUGCUGAAGAGACUUAACAAUCUGAAGAGCGGUGGAGCUGUCUAAGCCAUUUGUUAUUUCAUCCAUGAAGAGAGCUUUUGUUGGACCAACGAUCAUCUCAGCUGAAAACAGUUUGGAACUUCUCAGACAGUAAACAGCUGACGGUUUUCGCAUGUUUCUUAGCUAUGAACCAAACCUGUUGUAAGACGUUUCUUUUGCCCUCCGGAUAUGCCUCUUCUCAUUGCAUUACCAAACAAUGUUUCUGCACAAAUGUCAAGCCCUAGGAUCUGAAACAUGCAAUACAAGACCUAAUUAAGAAGCUAAUCAAGAAGGACAAACUGUAUUAGAGAAGCUACCUUCAAGAUGUAAUCUGUUUGUAGACUUCUUUUAAGUCCUUCAACCGAUAUUGCCUGCACAGUUGGAUUUACAAGACGUUUAUAAUAAACUGGCUGAGUUAAAAGAUCAGUUUCAGAAGUGAACCUUCAUGUAAGCAUCUACUUCAGGGUCAGGAAUGAUUCCACCAUCCUUUUCUCUUUUAAUGACCUCCAUCAUAAUAUCUGUUUAAUCCUAGAGUUAUGUUUGUCACCAAAACCGUUUAGAGAAUGCUUUCUUUAUGACAAAAUCUACCUGUUCGGCUAGCAACACCUUGACAACGAGCUGAGAAGUCAAUUGUCUCCCUCACUGUCAUCUCUGCAAUGUGCAGAUCGUUUUGACUUAUGUAUGCUGAUGUUUUCUGAGGAACAAACUUGUUCAGCCCUUGUCCAUUGUAGGAUAUUUCACCAGAAACCUUAAGAUUUUUGUCUAAGUUUCCAGACAAAGCCUUAAGCAAAGUAGUUUUCCCACAUCCAGGAGGACCUAGCAGCAGUGUUAGCCUUGAGCAACAAGAAGAAGCAUUAGUUAUGUUUCAUUACACAAAUCUCAAGGGUUGGAUCAAAAGAGAGAUACUACCUCCCCGGGUUAAUGAUGCCGCUAACAUCAUUAAGUAUGCUUAUCUUGGCUUCUUGUGUUCUUACACCACUCAGCUUCACCAGUUCCUGAAAGAGAAAAAGAGUAUAUAACUCAACACGAGCUUACUUCCAUGUUGCAAUAUGCAUUAUAGUAUACUCACUAUGAAAACGUGCUUCAAGGAGUUCCAUAAAGUUGGAAGCGCCUUCCCUUCAACGACCUCGCACUCAGCUUCAACACUUAAAUUCUCAUACCUCACUUCUAUGCUCGGAAACUCCACCCCAACCCUGCAAGUAAGCAAUUCAGUUUCAAGCUCAAGUUCAAGAUUCACAAGGUUUGUUUCCUUAUCUAGUAAUUUUCACCUGUCUAUUCUUUUUCUGAUCUUCUUGAGCAGCUUGAGAUUAUCAUUCUCAAUGUGUUUGAUCAGCUUCUCAAUCAUCAGAUGACGUUCCAUGGCUCCUAGCUUGGUGACAUCAGCCACCCUCUUCCCAUUCUCCUCAGACUCACCUUCUUCAUCGACCAGAGAUGAUCUCAGCCGCUCAAAAGUUGGCAAUCUCUGGAUCUCAGCCCAUUGGAGAGCAUACUCUGCCUCAUCCUCAGGCUCACUUCUUGAAGAGCUUCUCCUGAAACUAGUUCCCAUAUUUCUUCCAAUCUCUGAAAGCUCCACUCUCAUUUCUUCUCCACCCAUCUGAGUCAAGCCUCAAAGAGUCCCAAGUUUUCUGAUCAAAUAUGAGGUAUACCUUUUUAUUCUAUUAAUAAUACAUAUGUAAUUGUACUUUUCAGACUUAGAAUAGUGAGGUGGUGGAAGAUAUAAAGGUGUUAAAAAGUUCUAAUGAAAAAUAUAUUAUAAGACACAACCAGCUUGUAUUGAAGUUCCUUUUAUUUACUGAAAGUGAGAUUAGCAAACACUUUGAUUCAGUUAUACUGGUAAUCUAUAAGCCACUAAAAGUAAAUUAAUGUAAGUUUCAUAUUUCAAAAAUGAACUACUAUUAGUUGAUAGUUUCAUCAUAUUUUAUGGAUAACUUCAAAUCCUAGCAAUCUCAGUAGGUGAUAUAUGACAUGGUGUGUUUGCCUCUAUCUAAAGGUGGAUGCCUGAUGUUGCUUUCAUGUGGUUGGAAUUUUAUUCUUCUUUUGUAGUUUCCUCCCACUUUCCAGUGCUUAGGUGGGGAGCCAAUGGGCCGGCCCAUCUACAGAGAAUGUUCUUUCUUUAGCAGUUUUCGAUCGUGUGGGUCCACGGGUAUGACAAAAAUUAUCAAAACUUGUACGAACGGUUAUUAUUGCUUUGGCUUGUCGUUGAUACGCUUCUUGUAUAAAAAAAGCCACUACUAAUAGGUUAUUAUUGGUUUGGCCUUAUGUUGGCAGCAUGUGUCCUUGGUUAUACAUUCUCAUCAAUAUAUUUUUGACUAGUUGAUAAGUAUUCUAACAUAAAAAAAUACAUAAAGAAAAGCUUGAGUUGUUUUGAUGAUGCAUCUAUCGUUUUUGAAAGUUAAGCUUGGCGACAAAGAAAGCAAACAUAGAAGCUAGUGCAAUGGGAAAUGCGAUGAGAAUAAUGGCUGAAAAGAUCAAACGAUCAUGAUGGAAUCCAAAGUAGUCCUCUAAGAAUCUUGCAACGGUCGUGGACUCUCCAAAUGCAUCGAUCGUUUCAUGUAUGUCACCGUACUGAGACGAGAAAAACACGUUGAGCGUCCAAGAGGUUGGAGCUAGAUAGUAAAGCCAUACCCACCACUUUGGUAUUUGCUGCAUUGUUUCAACAUCAAGAAAACACUAUUAACCAUAGGUCAAAAUGGUAAGGUAUUAAUAUUAAUAAACUCAUUUAAAUAUUAAUAAUAUAAUAUUUCAAAAAAAAAAAGAUAAAGAUGGUCAUGACUGGUUUUAAAGAUCUUACCGGAAGUGGAAUCAAGAAACCAGCAAAAAGGUUGAAAGCAACGAAGAAAAGAGACUGGAGAAUAGCUGCGACCAUGAAGUUUGGUGUCACGGAGAUGAGGAACAUUGCAAGGUAGUUGAGGCAUAGUAGGUUACAGAACAUUGAGUAUAGACUCCAAAAGACUUUGUAAGCAGAUGCGUAUAAACCCAUCAUAGGAUAUAUCACGAUCACAAACUCUGCGCUUUGGAUGAAAAUGUAAGGAACCUCGGUCACAACUUGAGCCAACGCAUACG